AUGACAUGGCAUUAUCUGGUCCACCCAGUGUGCACUCCCACGAUGGGCAGCCCAACCCACCGAUCUGUCUCUCUCUUAUCGCACGAUCUCUCUCUCUCUCCCUUAUCCCACGAUCUCUCUCUACCACGUGACUUGGUCUCCCACGUACCCAUCUCUCUCUCUUACGGGCACACUACAGCGGCAAGAUCGAGCGGCACAGGCGAGGAGAGAAGGAGACGCUGGCGGCACGGCACCGGCCAGCGAGCUCUGGCGCCUCCUCCCUCUGGCGCCUCCUCCCUGCGACGCCUCCUCACUCCGACGAGCAGCGCGACGCGGCCUCCUCCCUCUGACGACUCCUCCCUCCGGCGCCUCCUCCCUCCGGCGAGCAGCAUGGUGCGGCCUCCUCCCUCUGACGACUCCUCCCUCCGACGCCUCCUAACUCCGGCGAGCAGCACGGGCGGCGCGGCACGGGCCGUUGAGUAG
Molecule: ribosomal RNA, 462 nt
Filed under: Triticum aestivum (bread wheat)
Lineage: Eukaryota; Viridiplantae; Streptophyta; Magnoliopsida; Poales; Poaceae
Description: partial small subunit ribosomal RNA
Source: RNAcentral